UGGCACCAGCAGAUCUGCCUGUGCAUGGACUUCCUGUACUACCUCACUCCUGAGGGGAGAUGUUUCUGCAGGGCCUAUGACCUGGUGCACAACUUUAGACACCAUCAUCCUGGAGCAGCACUGCACCCUCACUAGCCAGAGUGUUGACAUCCUCAAGGCCAGGGCCACAUUCAAGACUUUGGACUUCAUUGAUGCACUUGUGCUGAGCAAGCUUAUCUGAUCUCCUGGGAUCUCUACUAGGAUGCUGGCAGCCCAGCCAGCUGGUCUGGCCCUGGACGUGCCUUCAGGUGCUGGUUAUGCUUUAUGACCUGUGUUGUGAUCCUGGUCAGAGUAAAACAUUCCAUGGGAACUCGGGCUGUGAGAAACAUCCUAACCACCUGACUGCAGAAACAUCCUUAUCACAUCCUGCUGGGCAAGGGCCCAACAGCCUGACUUCAGGAACAUCCUUAUCAUCUUCUACUGAGCAGCAAGCUAUACUGUCCAGAGCCCUCCCUCCCAGCCCCAUGAUUACCCCAGCCUGUAAGUGGCAGUGGGCGCUGACACUAAGCUGGUUUCCCCCUCCGCAGGGUUUUGCUAGUAAUAAACCUGUGUUGCUGUUG
RNAcentral lists this long non-coding RNA (599 nucleotides) under Homo sapiens (human). RNAcentral describes it as "non-protein coding lnc-ANKRD18B-6:8". Lineage: Eukaryota; Metazoa; Chordata; Mammalia; Primates; Hominidae. The record is from RNAcentral.